Molecule: ribosomal RNA, 3395 nt
Filed under: Salmonella enterica subsp. enterica serovar Derby
Lineage: Bacteria; Pseudomonadati; Pseudomonadota; Gammaproteobacteria; Enterobacterales; Enterobacteriaceae
Description: bacterial LSU rRNA
Rfam family: Bacterial large subunit ribosomal RNA
Source: RNAcentral
UUAAGCGACUAAGCGUACACGGUGGAUGCCCUGGCAGUCAGAGGCGAUGAAGGGCGUGCUAAUCUGCGAUAAGCGCCGGUAAGGUGAUAUGAACCGUUAUAACCGGCGAUACCCGAAUGGGGAAACCCAGUGUGAUUCGUCACACUAUCAUUAACUGAAUCCAUAGGUUAAUGAGGCGAACCGGGGGAACUGAAACAUCUAAGUACCCCGAGGAAAAGAAAUCAACCGAGAUUCCCCCAGUAGCGGCGAGCGAACGGGGAGGAGCCCAGAGCCUGAAUCAGCAUGUGUGUUAGUGGAAGCGUCUGGAAAGGCGCGCGAUACAGGGUGACAGCCCCGUACACAAAAGCGCAUGUGCUGUGAGCUCGAUGAGUAGGGCGGGACACGUGGUAUCCUGUCUGAAUAUGGGGGGACCAUCCUCCAAGGCUAAAUACUCCUGACUGACCGAUAGUGAACCAGUACCGUGAGGGAAAGGCGAAAAGAACCCCGGCGAGGGGAGUGAAAAAGAACCUGAAACCGUGUACGUACAAGCAGUGGGAGCUGAGGGAAAGGCGAAAAGAACCCCGGCGAGGGGAGUGAAAAAGAACCUGAAACCGUGUACGUACAAGCAGUGGGAGCCCCACCACUAAGCCAGUGGUGAACUCCACAUACGCAUCCUUUGCUGAGGAUACGGUUAACGGAGCGAAAGCGACGUUCAACCGCAAAAGAAGCAGAGGGGGCUUAGUGGUGGGGUGACUGCGUACCUUUUGUAUAAUGGGUCAGCGACUUAUAUUCUGUAGCAAGGUUAACCGAAUAGGGGAGCCGUAGGGAAACCGAGUCUUAACCGGGCGUUAAGUUGCAGGGUAUAGACCCGAAACCCGGUGAUCUAGNGUAAUAGCUCACUGGUCGAGUCGGCCUGCGCGGAAGAUGUAACGGGGCUAAACCAUGCACCGAAGCUGCGGCAGCGAACGUAUCACUUAAAGCGAUUCAGCGGGUUACGAUUGACGGAGCGAAGCGACGUCAAAGCGUAUACAAAGUCGAGUCGGUUUAAGGAUACGUUCGUUGGGUAGGGGAGCGUUCUGUAAGCCUGUGAAGGUGGCCUGUGAGGGUUGCUGGAGGUAUCAGAAGUGCGAAUGCUGACAUAAGUAACGAUAAAGCGGGUGAAAAGAUAGGGGAGCCGGAGGGAAACCGAGUCUUAACCGGGCGUUAAGUUGCAGGGUAUAGACCCGAAACCCGGUGAUCUAGCCAUGGGCAGGUUGAAGGUUGGGUAACACUAACUGGAGGACCGAACCGACUAAUGUUGAAAAAUUAGCGGAUGACCUGUGGCUGGGGGUGAAAGGCCAAUCAAACCGGGAGAUAGCUGGUUCUCCCCGAAAGCUAUUUAGGUAGCGCCUCGUGAAUUCAUCUCCGGGGGUAGAGCACUGUUUCGGCUAGGGGGCCAUCCCGGCUUACCAACCCGAUGCAAACUGCGAAUACCGGAGAAUGUUAUCACGGGAGACACACGGCGGGUGCUAACGUCCGUCGUGAAGAGGGAAACAACCCAGACCGCCAGCUAAGGUCCCAAAGUCAUGGUUAAGUGGGAAACGAUGUGGGAAGGCCCAGACAGCCAGGAUGUUGGCUUAGAAGCAGCCAUCAUUUAAAGAAAGCGUAAUAGCUCACUGGUCGAGUCGGCCUGCGCGGAAGAUGUAACGGGGCUAAACCAUGCACCGAAGCUGCGGCAGCGAGAAGGUGGCCUGUGAGGGUUGCUGGAGGUAUCAGAAGUGCGAAUGCUGACAUAAGUAACGAUAAAGCGGGUGAAAAGCCCGCUCGCCGGAAGACCAAGGGUUCCUGUCCAACGUUAAUCGGGGCAGGGUGAGUCGACCCCUAAGGCGAGGCCGAAAGGCGUAGUCGAUGGGAAACGGGUUAAUAUUCCCGUACUUGGUGUUACUGCGAAGGGGGGACGGAGAAGGCUAUGUUGGCCGGGCGACGGUUGUCCCGGUUUAAGCGUGUAGGUGUGUGUUCCAGGUAAAUCCGGUUCACUUUAACACUGAGGCGUGAUGACGAGGCACUACGGUGCUGAAGCAACAAAUGCCCUGCUUCCAGGAAAAGCCUCUAAGCAUCAGGUAACAUCAAAUCGUACCCCAAACCGACACAGGUGGUCAGGUAGAGAAUACCAAGGCGCUUGAGAGAACUCGGGUGAAGGAACUAGGCAAAAUGGUGCCGUAACUUCGGGAGAAGGCACGCUGACACGUAGGUGAAGUGAUUUACUCAUGGAGCUGAAGUCAGUCGAAGAUACCAGCUGGCUGCAACUGUUUAUUAAAAACACAGCACUGUGCAAACACGAAAGUGGACGUAUACGGUGUGACGCCUGCCCGGUGCCGGAAGGUUAAUUGAUGGGGUCAGCGCAAGCGAAGCUCCUGAUCGAAGCCCCGGUAAACGGCGGCCGUAACUAUAACGGUCCUAAGGUAGCGAAAUUCCUUGUCGGGUAAGUUCCGACCUGCACGAAUGGCGUAAUGAUGGCCAGGCUGUCUCCACCCGAGACUCAGUGAAAUUGAACUCGCUGUGAAGAUGCAGUGUACCCGCGGCAAGACGGAAAGACCCCGUGAACCUUUACUAUAGCUUGACACUGAACAUUGAGCCUUGAUGUGUAGGAUAGGUGGGAGGCUUUGAAGCGUGGACGCCAGUCUGCGUGGAGCCGACCUUGAAAUACCACCCUUUAAUGUUUGAUGUUCUAACGUGGACCCGUGAUCCGGGUUGCGGACAGUGUCUGGUGGGUAGUUUGACUGGGGCGGUCUCCUCCUAAAGAGUAACGGAGGAGCACGAAGGUUGGCUAAUCCUGGUCGGACAUCAGGAGGUUAGUGCAAUGGCAUAAGCCAGCUUGACUGCGAGCGUGACGGCGCGAGCAGGUGCGAAAGCAGGUCAUAGUGAUCCGGUGGUUCUGAAUGGAAGGGCCAUCGCUCAACGGAUAAAAGGUACUCCGGGGAUAACAGGCUGAUACCGCCCAAGAGUUCAUAUCGACGGCGGUGUUUGGCACCUCGAUGUCGGCUCAUCACAUCCUGGGGCUGAAGUAGGUCCCAAGGGUAUGGCUGUUCGCCAUUUAAAGUGGUACGCGAGCUGGGUUUAGAACGUCGUGAGACAGUUCGGUCCCUAUCUGCCGUGGGCGCUGGAGAACUGAGGGGGGCUGCUCCUAGUACGAGAGGACCGGAGUGGACGCAUCACUGGUGUUCGGGUUGUCAUGCCAAUGGCACUGCCCGGUAGCUAAAUGCGGAAGAGAUAAGUGCUGAAAGCAUCUAAGCACGAAACUUGCCCCGAGAUGAGUUCUCCCUGAGACUUAGAGUCUCCUGAAGGAACGUUGAAGACGACGACGUUGAUAGGCCGGGUGUGUAAGCGCAGCGAUGCGUUGAGCUAACCGGUACUAAUGAACCGUGAGGCUUAACCUU